Molecule: ribosomal RNA, 504 nt
Filed under: uncultured bacterium
Lineage: Bacteria
Description: partial 16S ribosomal RNA
Rfam family: Bacterial small subunit ribosomal RNA
Source: RNAcentral
AUUGAACGCUGGCGGCAGGCCUAACACAUGCAAGUCGAGCGGUAACACAGGGAGCUUGCUCCUGGGUGACGAGCGGCGGACGGGUGAGUAAUGUCUGGGAAACUGCCUGAUGGAGGGGGAUAACUACUGGAAACGGUAGCUAAUACCGCAUAAUGUCGCAAGACCAAAGAGGGGGACCUUCGGGCCUCUUGCCAUCAGAUGUGCCCAGAUGGGAUUAGCUAGUAGGUGGGGUAACGGCUCACCUAGGCGACGAUCCCUAGCUGGUCUGAGAGGAUGACCAGCCACACUGGAACUGAGACACGGUCCAGACUCCUACGGGAGGCAGCAGUGGGGAAUAUUGCACAAUGGGCGCAAGCCUGAUGCAGCCAUGCCGCGUGUAUGAAGAAGGCCUUCGGGUUGUAAAGUACUUUCAGCGGGGAGGAAGGUGUUGAGGUUAAUAACCUCAGCAAUUGACGUUACCCGCAGAAGAAGCACCGGCUAACUCCGUGCCAGCAGCCGCGGUAA